Vanessa tameamea is the source of this 197-nucleotide long non-coding RNA. RefSeq lists it as uncharacterized. The transcript has 2 exons. NCBI's taxonomy places the organism in Eukaryota, Metazoa, Arthropoda, Insecta, Lepidoptera, Nymphalidae. The record is from RefSeq and is a predicted model, not a curated record.
AUGUGUGACGCUACCUUAAUAAACUGAGGGCCAUUGUAUAUCGGCUCAUUUUCGUUUCAUAUGUCAGGCGCACACUGUCGCGAGUAGCUACAAUGUCGGAGAAUAUAUGACAUAACGCAGGAACAACGGCUUUACAUCCUCCUUUUGAGGCACGGGAGUUCAUUGUACCGUACUCCAUAACCUCAGCUACUUCGGUA